Molecule: ribosomal RNA, 485 nt
Filed under: uncultured bacterium
Lineage: Bacteria
Description: bacterial SSU rRNA
Rfam family: Bacterial small subunit ribosomal RNA
Source: RNAcentral
UGAACGCUGGCGGCAUGCCUAACACAUGCAAGUCGAACGGAAACGAUGGGAGCUUGCUCCCAGGCGUCGAGUGGCGGACGGGUGAGUAAUACUUAGGAAUCUGCCCAUUAGUGGGGGACAACAUUCGGAAACGGAUGCUAAUACCGCAUACGCCCUACGGGGGAAAGCGGAGGACCUUUCGGGGCUUCGCGCUAAUGGAUGAGCCUAAGUCGGAUUAGCUUGUUGGUGAGGUAAAGGCUCACCAAGGCGACGAUCCGUAGCUGGUCUGAGAGGACGAUCAGCCACACUGGGACUGAGACACGGCCCAGACUCCUACGGGAGGCAGCAGUGGGGAAUAUUGGACAAUGGGCGCAAGCCUGAUCCAGCAAUGCCGCGUGUGUGAAGAAGGCCUGCGGGUUGUAAAGCACUUUCAGUAGAGAAGAAAAGCCUAUGGUUAAUACCCGUGGGUCUUGACGUUACCUACAGAAGAAGCUCCGGCUAACUCC